GCUGAAUAGCUCAGUUGGUGGAACGUGAGACUCAAAAUCUCAAGGUUGUGGGUUCAAGCCCCAUGCUGAGCA
This is a non-coding RNA of Podarcis lilfordi (Lilford's wall lizard), 72 nucleotides long. The record is from the annotation of a GenBank genome assembly. NCBI's taxonomy places the organism in Eukaryota, Metazoa, Chordata, Lepidosauria, Squamata, Lacertidae.